This 1441-nucleotide ribosomal RNA is filed under the name uncultured organism. RNAcentral's name for it is "SSU rRNA". It matches the Rfam family "Bacterial small subunit ribosomal RNA". The record is from RNAcentral.
GCUUAACACAUGCAAGUCGAGGGGCAGCAUGGUCUUAGCUUGCUAAGGCCGAUGGCGACCGGCGCACGGGUGAGUAACACGUAUCCAACCUGCCGUCUACUCUUGGACAGCCUUCUGAAAGGAAGAUUAAUACAAGAUGGCAUCAUGAGUCCGCAUGUUCACAUGAUUAAAGGUAUUCCGGUAGACGAUGGGGAUGCGUUCCAUUAGAUAGUAGGCGGGGUAACGGCCCACCUAGUCUUCGAUGGAUAGGGGUUCUGAGAGGAAGGUCCCCCACAUUGGAACUGAGACACGGUCCAAACUCCUACGGGAGGCAGCAGUGAGGAAUAUUGGUCAAUGGGCGAGAGCCUGAACCAGCCAAGUAGCGUGAAGGAUGACUGCCCUAUGGGUUGUAAACUUCUUUUAUAAAGGAAUAAAGUCGGGUAUGCAUACCCGUUUGCAUGUACUUUAUGAAUAAGGAUCGGCUAACUCCGUGCCAGCAGCCGCGGUAAUACGGAGGAUCCGAGCGUUAUCCGGAUUUAUUGGGUUUAAAGGGAGCGUAGAUGGAUGUUUAAGUCAGUUGUGAAAGUUUGCGGCUCAACCGUAAAAUUGCAGUUGAUACUGGAUAUCUUGAGUGCAGUUGAGGCAGGCGGAAUUCGUGGUGUAGCGGUGAAAUGCUUAGAUAUCACGAAGAACUCCGAUUGCGAAGGCAGCCUGCUAAGCUGCAACUGACAUUGAGGCUCGAAAGUGUGGGUAUCAAACAGGAUUAGAUACCCUGGUAGUCCACACGGUAAACGAUGAAUACUCGCUGUUUGCGAUAUACUGCAAGCGGCCAAGCGAAAGCGUUAAGUAUUCCACCUGGGGAGUACGCCGGCAACGGUGAAACUCAAAGGAAUUGACGGGGGCCCGCACAAGCGGAGGAACAUGUGGCUUAAUUCGAUGAUACGCGAGGAACCUUACCCGGGCUUAAAUUGCAGAUGAAUUACGGUGAAAGCCGUAAGCCGCAAGGCAUCUGUGAAGGUGCUGCAUGGUUGUCGUCAGCUCGUGCCGUGAGGUGUCGGCUUAAGUGCCAUAACGAGCGCAACCCUUGUUGUCAGUUACUAACAGGUUCCGCUGAGGACUCUGACAAGACUGCCAUCGUAAGAUGUGAGGAAGGUGGGGAUGACGUCAAAUCAGCACGGCCCUUACGUCCGGGGCUACACACGUGUUACAAUGGGGGGUACAGAGGGCCGCUACCACGCGAGUGGAUGCCAAUCCCCAAAACCUCUCUCAGUUCGGACUGGAGUCUGCAACCCGACUCCACGAAGCUGGAUUCGCUAGUAAUCGCGCAUCAGCCACGGCGCGGUGAAUACGUUCCCGGGCCUUGUACACACCGCCCGUCAAGCCAUGGGAGCCGGGGGUACCUGAAGUGCGUAACCGCGAGGAGCGCCCUAGGGUAAAACUGGUGACUGGGGCUAAGUCAUAA